This is a long non-coding RNA of Eptesicus fuscus (big brown bat), 631 nucleotides long. RefSeq lists it as uncharacterized. The record is from RefSeq and is a predicted model, not a curated record. The transcript is spliced from 3 exons. NCBI's taxonomy places the organism in Eukaryota, Metazoa, Chordata, Mammalia, Chiroptera, Vespertilionidae.
CUGGAAGGGGUGAUACAGGAAAAGACAAGCCCAGGAGGUGGACUAGGUCCCAUUUCAGUGUGCCGGGCGCACAAAUGGUCUCAAGGCCGGACGCACAGGAAGUGACUCACGCGUUGGGCCAUCUGAUAGGACAGUUCCAGGGAAUGCUGGGAAGACAGGCAUCAGCCGAUAAAGCCCUCAUACGUAGACGGUCGGUCAUACAUCUCAGCGGAAGGAUCACAUCCCCGGAGGGACUCGGCGGUGGGGAAACUGAGGCCCAGGAAGGGCAACAGCGAAGGAGUUGUGCUGGGAUCCGAAUCCAGUGACUGCAGCGCCGAGCCCGGUCCAUGUGACUGCCCCGCCGUAGCCCCGAAACAUGCUUUGGAGAAAACGGAGCAGGCCCUGGGCGAGUGCUCUAGAAACACCAGCCAAUAAUCGCUUCCGAAAUCUGAGGGGCUCGUCUGUAUCUCACUGCAGGCGUCCGGGGACGCCAGCUGCAGGGUCACGGCCAUCAUCUGCGGCUGCGCUUCAGGGCGGUGUAUCGGCCGCUCUGCUCCGGCUGCAGCGCACCACUCGCUCGCCGCUCCUCACACUCACUUUCUAUUCAUCCUUAUCUGCCAUUUCGCUAAGUGACGAUCCCGCCCGGACAGAA